Molecule: small nuclear RNA, 107 nt
Organism: Otolemur garnettii (small-eared galago)
Lineage: Eukaryota; Metazoa; Chordata; Mammalia; Primates; Galagidae
Source: Ensembl
GUGCUCACUUCAGCAGCACAUAUACCAAAACUGGAACAAUACAGAGCAGAUUAGCAUGGCCCCCGUGCAAAGACGGCAUGAAAAUUUGUAAAGUGUUCCAUAUUUUU